AGGUAACACGUGGGUAACCUGCCUUAUGAGGGGGAGUAACAGAGAGAAAUCACUGCUAAUACCGCAUAAGCACACAGUACCGCAUGGUACAGGGUGAAAAGAUUUAUCACCAUAAGAUGGACCCGCGUCUGAUUAGCCAGUUGGCAGGGUAAAAGCCUACCAAAGCAACGAUCAGUAGCCGAUCUGAGAGGAUGACCGGCCACAUUGGGACUGAGACACGGCCCAA
This 226-nucleotide ribosomal RNA is filed under the name uncultured bacterium. Its description in RNAcentral is "partial 16S ribosomal RNA". It matches the Rfam family "Bacterial small subunit ribosomal RNA", at positions 108 to 334 of the family's 1533-position model. The record is from RNAcentral.